GAUGAACGCUAGCGGCAGGCCUAAUACAUGCAAGUCGGACGGGAUUGGGGAGCUUGCUCCCCAUGAGAGUGGCGCACGGGUGCGUAACACGUAUGUAACCUACCCUUGUCAGGGGGAUAGCCUCUCGAAAGAGAGAUUAACACCGCAUAACAUUAUUGGAUGGCAUCAUUUAAUAAUCAAAUAUUUAUAGGACAAGGAUGGGCAUGCGGGACAUUAGCUAGUUGGUAGGGUAACGGCUUACCAAGGCUACGAUGUCUAGGGGAUCUGAGAGGAUGGCCCCCCAACCUGGUACUGAGACACGGACCAGACUCCUACGGGAGGCAGCAGUAAGGAAUAUUGGUCAAUGGGCGCAAGCCUGAACCAGCCAUGCCGCGUGCAGGAAGACGGCCCUACGGGUUGUAAACUGCUUUUGCGCCGGAAUAAACCCUUUUACGAGUAAGAGGCUGAAUGUACGGCGAGAAUAAGGAUCGGCUAACUCCGUGCCAGCCGCCGCGGUAA
Molecule: ribosomal RNA, 498 nt
Filed under: uncultured bacterium
Lineage: Bacteria
Description: partial 16S ribosomal RNA
Rfam family: Bacterial small subunit ribosomal RNA
Source: RNAcentral